AUUGUACUUCCUUCGUUUCGAAUUACUUGUCUUGGAUUUGUCUAGAUACGGAUGUAUCUAGACUCAUUUUAGUGCUAGAUACCUCCGUAUCUAGACAAAUCUAAAACAAAUAAUUCGGAACGGAGAGAGUACUAU
Molecule: non-coding RNA, 135 nt
Organism: Triticum aestivum (bread wheat)
Lineage: Eukaryota; Viridiplantae; Streptophyta; Magnoliopsida; Poales; Poaceae
Source: Rfam